This is a long non-coding RNA of Thamnophis elegans (Western terrestrial garter snake), 597 nucleotides long. RefSeq lists it as uncharacterized. The transcript has 2 exons. The record is from RefSeq and is a predicted model, not a curated record. NCBI's taxonomy places the organism in Eukaryota, Metazoa, Chordata, Lepidosauria, Squamata, Natricidae.
CAGCUAAUUCAUGCAUUUUAAUAACAUUUUGCCAGGGGACAAGCAGAGCGCAGGGCAAAACACCAGAAGGGGGAAGGCAGGAGAAGACCAUGACAUGAUUAAGGAUCAGGAGACCGGUUCUUCUUGGAAGUUCUCAUGAUGGUUUUGGCUGCCGAGUUCUCCAUCCGCGUGGGCCUUCGGUGGUUGAGUUGGCCUUCGAGGAGCCAAUGAAAUAGGCCACCUCAGAGUUGCAUGGAUGGUGUCACAAAGCAUCAAUUCCCAGGGUCUUGUUUUCUUGGUGGGCUUCCGUGUUGGGUUGAGGCUGGAAGCCGAGAGAUGGACCUUCUCCUUCUCCACGUUGCCUUCAACAGCUUCUAAACAGCAUUUUGGAUUUUGGUCCUUCUACUUGCGGUAGCGUUGCUGGCGAGGGGGCAGCACGGCUAACAUGGGCGGUAGCACGGCUGACAUGGGAUGUAGCAUGGCUGAGAUGGGGGGUAGCAUGGCUGACAUGAGAUGUAGCACGGCUGAGGUGGGGGGCAGCACUGCUGAGGUGGGGGGUAGCACUGCUGAGGUGGGGGGUAGCACUGCUGAGGUGGGGGGUAGCACUGCUGAGGUGGG